UGACACGCCGAUGCGAUUUCGGUCAAAUCAUGUAUCAUUUUAGUGGCGGACGGGUGAGUAACGCGUGGGUAACCUGCCUUACACUGGGGGAUAACACUUAGAAAUAGGUGCUAAUACCGCAUAAGCGCACGGGGCCGCAUGGUCCUGUGUGAAAAACUGAGGUGGUGUAAGAUGGACCCGCGUCUGAUUAGCUAGUUGGCGGGGUAACGGCCCACCAAGGCAGCGAUCAGUAGCCGGCCUGAGAGGGUGGACGGCCACAUUGGGACUGAGACACGGCCCAAACUCCUACGGGAGGCAGCAGUGGGGGAUAUUGGACAAUGGGGGAAACCCUGAUCCAGCGACGCCGCGUGAGUGAAGAAGUAUUUCGGUAUGUAAAGCUCUGUCAGCAGGGAAGAAAGAAAUGACGGUACCUGACCAAGAAGCCCCGGCUAACUACGUGCCAGCAGCCGCGGUAAUACGUAGGGGGCAAGCGUUAUCCGGAAUUACUGGGUGUAAAGGGAGCGUAGACGGUUAUGUAAGUCUGGAGUGAAAGGCGGGGGCCCAACCCCCGGACUGCUCUGGAAACUAUAAAACUAGAGUGCAGGAGAGGUAAGCGGAAUUCCUAGUGUAGCGGUGAAAUGCGUAGAUAUUAGGAGGAACACCAGUGGCGAAGGCGGCUUACUGGACUGUAACUGACGUUGAGGCUCGAAAGCGUGNGGAGCAAACAGGAUUAGAUACCCUGGUANUCCACGCCGUAAACGAUGAUUACUAGGUGUCGGUGGGUAUGGACCCAUCGGUGCCG
RNAcentral lists this ribosomal RNA (781 nucleotides) under uncultured bacterium. Its description in RNAcentral is "bacterial SSU rRNA". It matches the Rfam family "Bacterial small subunit ribosomal RNA", at positions 56 to 848 of the family's 1533-position model. The record is from RNAcentral.